AGUUGGAUGGCCGAGAUAAAUAGGCGGUAAAUUGUAAAUUUAUAGACGAGUUUAACUCUUCAACUA
Molecule: transfer RNA, 66 nt
Filed under: Sinelater perroti
Lineage: Eukaryota; Metazoa; Arthropoda; Insecta; Coleoptera; Elateridae
Description: tRNA-Tyr
Source: RNAcentral